CUAUCUGCCUGUGUGUGUGUGUGACUAUCUGUCUGUGUGUGUGUGUGACUGCCUGCCUCUGUGUGUGACUGUCUGCCUGUGUGUGUGUGUGUGAGACCGUCUGCUUGUGUGUGUUUUACUGUCUGCCUGUGUGUGUGACUGCCUGUGUGACACUGUAUGUGUGUGUGUGUCUGUCUCUGUGUGUGUGGAUGUCUUUGUGUGUCUGUACAUCUGCUAACGAUUGAGCUUCUGUGUGUG
This is a non-coding RNA of Pelobates cultripes (western spadefoot toad), 237 nucleotides long. The record is from the annotation of a GenBank genome assembly. NCBI's taxonomy places the organism in Eukaryota, Metazoa, Chordata, Amphibia, Anura, Pelobatidae.